This 372-nucleotide ribosomal RNA is filed under the name uncultured organism. RNAcentral's name for it is "partial 16S ribosomal RNA". It matches the Rfam family "Bacterial small subunit ribosomal RNA", at positions 527 to 896 of the family's 1533-position model. The record is from RNAcentral.
GUAGGUGGCGAGCGUUGUCCGGAAUUAUUGGGCGUAAAGCGCGCGCAGGCGGUUCUUUAAGUCUGAUGUGAAAGCCCACGGCUCAACCGUGGAGGGUCAUUGGAAACUGGAGAACUUGAGUACAGAAGAGGAAAGCGGAAUUCCACGUGUAGCGGUGAAAUGCGUAGAGAUGUGGAGGAACACCAGUGGCGAAGGCGGCUUUCUGGUCUGUAACUGACGCUGAGGCGCGAAAGCGUGGGGAGCAAACAGGAUUAGAUACCCUGGUAGUCCACGCCGUAAACGAUGAGUGCUAAGUGUUAGGGGGUUUCCGCCCCCCUUAGUGCUGCAGCUAACGCAUUAAGCACUCCGCCUGGGAGUACGGCCGCAAGGCUG